AUUGAACGCUGGCGGCAGGCCUAACACAUGCAAGUCGAGCGAGCGGCGGACGGGUGAGUAUUGUAUGGGGACUGCCCGAUAGAGGGGGAUAACUACUGGAAACGGUAGCUAAUACCGCAUACUAUCGCAUAACCCCUAUGGGAUUAUCUAGGGGGUGGGGUAAUGGCUCACAUAGGAGACGAUCCCUAGCUGGUCUGAGAGGAUGAUCAGCCACACUGGAACUGAGACACGGCCCAGACUCCUACGGAGGCAGCAGUGGGGAAUAUUGCACAAUGGGCGCAAGCCUGAUGCAGCCAUGCCGCGUGUAUGAAGAAGGCCUUCGGGUUGUAAAGUACUUUCAGUGGGGAGGCGUUACCGACAGAAGAAGCACCGGCUAACUACGUGCCAGCAGCCGCGGUAAUAC
Molecule: ribosomal RNA, 403 nt
Filed under: uncultured bacterium
Lineage: Bacteria
Description: partial 16S ribosomal RNA
Rfam family: Bacterial small subunit ribosomal RNA
Source: RNAcentral